This is a long non-coding RNA of Drosophila pseudoobscura, 380 nucleotides long. RefSeq lists it as uncharacterized. NCBI's taxonomy places the organism in Eukaryota, Metazoa, Arthropoda, Insecta, Diptera, Drosophilidae. The transcript has 2 exons. The record is from RefSeq and is a predicted model, not a curated record.
AGCAAUGGCCCCACACCCCACACCACACAAUUCAAAUUCAAAUUUCUUUUGAACGUCUAAUCGGGUCUGUGUCCACAGACUGAAGUCGUGGGGCCCCUCCUUGGCCAUAUAAACAGACGAUUAUUGUAUAUACACAGAUUAGCACACAACUGAAUACUGAAUAAAUCCAUACAGCAAACUGCUGUCUAAUCGUAUUCCAGUUAACAACUGCACAACAAAACAAUACAAAACCCCAGCUGAACGGCUACGAAAAUGUCAUAAAAUUUGAAAUGCACUUGAUUCCCGUCUCCUUCCGUCCCCUGCUACAAAAGAUGACGGAGCGAUUGUUAGCAUUCGGCGUUUAGCUAGGGAAUGAAUACUCUUAAUACAGGAAAAAAGGA